RNAcentral lists this ribosomal RNA (497 nucleotides) under uncultured bacterium. RNAcentral's name for it is "partial 16S ribosomal RNA". It matches the Rfam family "Bacterial small subunit ribosomal RNA", at positions 28 to 507 of the family's 1533-position model. The record is from RNAcentral.
GAUGAACGCUGGCGGCGUGCCUAACACAUGCAAGUCGAGCGAACGGACGAGAAGCUUGCUUCUCUGAUGUUAGCGGCGGACGGGUGAGUAACACGUGGAUAACCUACCUAUAAGACUGGGAUAACUUCGGGAAACCGGAGCUAAUACCGGAUAAUAUUUUGAACCGCAUGGUUCAAAAGUGAAAGACGGUCUUGCUGUCACUUAUAGAUGGGUCCGCGCUGCAUUAGCUAGUUGGUAAGGUAACGGCUUACCAAGGCAACGAUGCAUAGCCGACCUGAGAGGGUGAUCGGCCACACUGGAACUGAGACACGGUCCAGACUCCUACGGGAGGCAGCAGUAGGGAAUCUUCCGCAAAGGGCGAAAGCCUGACGGAGCAACGCCGCGUGAGUGAUGAAGGUCUUCGGAUCGUAAAACUCUGUUAUUAGGGAAGAACAUAUGUGUAAGUAACUGUGCACAUCUUGACGGUACCUAAUCAGAAAGCAACGGCUAACUACGUG